AUGAAAAUCCAGGGGUCUUUGCUUCCAGCCAUAGUGCUUCUGCUUCUUGGCUUUGGAUUGAGAAAUGGUAAAGCCAGUGAUACACCCCCUGCUCAUUAUGACACCGCUUUCCUCAACAGGACUAGUUUCCCAGCAGGUUUCAUAUUUGGGACAGCUUCAUCAUCUUACCAGUAUGAAGGUGCUGCUCAAGAUGGUGGCAGGGGACCAAGCAUAUGGGAUACCUAUACCCACAGAUAUCCAGACAAGAUUAAGGACGGUAGCAAUGGAGAUGUAGCUAAUGAUGAAUAUCACCGCUAUAAGGAAGAUGUAGGGAUUAUGAAGAACAUGGGGUUGGAUGCAUAUCGGUUCUCUAUCUCAUGGUCCAGAUUGUUACCAAAUGGAAAGCUAAGUGGGGGAGUGAACAAGAAAGGAGUCAAAUACUACAACAAUCUCAUCAAUGAACUCCUACGCAAUGGCAUAAAACCAUUUGUGACCCUCUUCCACUGGGAUCUUCCCCAAACUUUAGAAGAUGAGUAUGGCGGUUUUUUAAGCCCUCACAUUGUCAAUCAUUUUAGGGACUACGCAGAGCUUUGUUACAAGGAAUUUGGUGACAGGGUAAAGCACUGGAUCACGUUUAAUGAGCCAUAUAGUUAUAGUGCUGGUGGUUAUGCAGCGGCAAUUUUGGCACCAGGACGCUGUUCUGAUUGGCAACAGCUAAACUGCACCGGUGGGGAUUCCGGUACUGAACCAUAUUUGGUAGCACACCACCAGCUCCUUGCUCAUGCAGCUGCAGUAAAAUUAUACAGGCAAAAAUAUCAGUCAUCUCAAAAGGGAUUGAUAGGGAUUACUCUAGUUUCAAAUUGGUAUGUGCCGGUUUCGGAGGCAAAGCACCAUAAAAAUGCUGCACUAAGAGCUCUAGAUUACAUGCUUGGAUGGUUUAUGGAUCCCUUGACAAAUGGAGAUUAUCCACACAGCAUGAGGUCUCUAGUUGGAAACCGAUUACCAAAAUUCACAAAGGAGCAGUCCAAAUUGUUAAUUGGAUCAUUUGAUUUUCUGGGAUUGAAUUAUUACACAGCUAAUUAUGCAGCCUAUGCACCUCAACAUAAUUCUGUCAAUGCAAGCUACUUAACAGAUGCUCGUGCUUCUCUUUCAUCUGUGCUUAAUGGAAUUCCCAUUGGACCAAAGGCUGCUUCAGACUGGCUAUACGUUUAUCCAAGAGGAAUUCGAGAUCUUUUGCUCUACACAAAGACAAAAUAUAAUGAUCCACUCAUAUACAUUACUGAGAAUGGUAUUGAUGAGUACAAUGAUCCGCAAUUAUCACUUGAAGAAGCCCUUAACGACACGCAGAGAAUCGACUACUACUAUCGCCACCUGUAUUACCUUCAAAGAGCAAUCAAGGAUGGUGUGAAUGUGAAAGGAUACUUUGCAUGGUCACUGCUAGACAAUUUUGAAUGGAAUUCUGGUUAUACAGUCCGAUUUGGAAUCAACUAUGUAGAUUACAAAAAUGGGCAGACUAGGCACCCAAAACUUUCUGCACACUGGUUCAAAGGUUUUCUGAAGAAAACGUAAAGAAAUUUUUGGCCACGGAUAUGUAGUAAAACAUGUCAUUUGCAAUGA
Molecule: RNA transcript, 1596 nt
Organism: Fragaria vesca subsp. vesca
Lineage: Eukaryota; Viridiplantae; Streptophyta; Magnoliopsida; Rosales; Rosaceae
Gene name: beta-glucosidase 12-like
Exons: 13
Source: RefSeq, a predicted model, not a curated record